CCUACGGGGGACAGCAGUGAGGAAUAUUGGUCAAUGGACGAGAGUCUGAACCAGCCAAGUAGCGUGAAGGAUGACUGCCCUAUGGGUUGUAAACUUCUUUUAUAUGGGAAUAAAAUGUUCCACGUGUGGGUUUUUGUAUGUACCUUAUGAAUAAGGAUCGGCUAACUCCGUGCCAGCAGCCGCGGUAAUACGGAGGAUCCGAGCGUUAUCCGGAUUUAUUGGGUUUAAAGGGAGCGUAGGUGGAUUGUUAAGUCAGUUGUGAAAGUUUGCGGCUCAACCGUAAAAUUGCAGUUGAAACUGGCAGUCUUGAGUACAGUUGAGGUAGGUGGAACUCGAGGUGUAGCGGUGAAAUGCGUAGAUAUAUGGAAGAACACCGAUGGCGAAGGCAGCCGACUGAACUGUUGCUGACACUGAGGCACGAAAGCGUGGGGAGCAAAUAGGAUUAGAUACCCGGGUAGUC
Molecule: ribosomal RNA, 460 nt
Filed under: uncultured bacterium
Lineage: Bacteria
Description: partial 16S ribosomal RNA
Rfam family: Bacterial small subunit ribosomal RNA
Source: RNAcentral